GAAGGUAUAGUUCAGUGGUGGAGCAUGUGCUUAGCAUGCAUAAGGUCCUGGGUUUAAUCCUCAGUGCCUCCA
RNAcentral lists this transfer RNA (72 nucleotides) under Camelus bactrianus (Bactrian camel). It matches the Rfam family "tRNA". From Rfam's summary of the family: Transfer RNA (tRNA) molecules are approximately 80 nucleotides in length. Lineage: Eukaryota; Metazoa; Chordata; Mammalia; Artiodactyla; Camelidae. The record is from Rfam by way of RNAcentral. RNAcentral also lists the same sequence under 2 other names.